AAUCGCAGUCACACUACCUACCACUCCCUCACUCCUCUCUGGUCGUCUCUCAUUAGAACCCGCAUCAAGAGUCACCCUUCCACUACAUCCAGCCGCCGGUACGGGGACCGUCCCUCCCUACCUCGAGCCGCCGUCGCAGGGACGGCUGCCUCCCCGAAGCCGGCUCGAGGACCAUGGCCACCCUGCCUACCCGCUGCCGCCAUUUGUUCUGGUUCCUCCCCUUCCUCCCUGCCGCUGCCGGUAUUUACUCGCACUAACGGAGGCGGAGGGGCAGACGUCUUGUCUACCGGAUUCGCGGCCGCGGCCGCGGCCACCGCGCUCGCGUUGGAUAGCACCACAUCACAGGCCCUCCUCCUCCUUCUGCCGGACAAGGCGGUCAAUCGGAGCAAGCGGCGGACGGGCGAGGGACGCUGGUGCGGUGAUGAAGCCUUGCUAUGAAUUUUCAAGGAGGGAAGAGCAAGCAACCAACCAGAUGCAUGCAGGUUUAGCGCUCACGCAGAUAUAAAACUACGGGACUUGUACAACGUGAAGUUGGAUCUUGCAGUGCCACAGGACUGAUGAACGUGCGAAGCAUGUCCGUCACAUGUAGGAGUUGCAACUUCAUCUUUAGGCUGGCCUGUUUAUUUUAACAUCCAGUCAAACUCAGGUUUCUGUUGGUAAUGUUGAUCAACCUGUGAAGUAUCUUCAACAUUUGUGGGUGCUGGAACUAAAUUGGUGUCUUGGCCUGUUUCAGCAUAUUAAAAUUCAGUUGAAAUCAAGAUCAUGUAGGUGUAAGUAACUCCAUAAUUUCACCCGCGGCUGAUGUGUUUACUAUGUCUUGAAAUGGUGAAAGGCUGAAGUAUUUGAUUGUUGUGCCAUCUGGCAGCCGAGACUUACCGGCCAGAGCGUUGACUCGAAGUUGUAUUUUACGACGGGGCUUAGAAGCGAGUUUGCAAGCUCCCAAGGCGGCGGAGGGUCACCACGGCUGGGAGUUGCCGUCUGGAGUACGUCGGCGCAAUGUGGCGGAGGGUCAAUCGGCGAGGAGUCGUCACCUCUGUAGUACGCCGGCGUGGCGGCCGCGCAUGAGUGAUGGAGUCGAGGCGACAGCGACGCGCCAGUGAGCCGGAGUCAGGCAGCGUGGUGAUGGUGACUGGAGAAGAAAUCCGUAAGUUGGUGGAUCUGGAAAACUGCAUAUGGUAAGUGUAAUUCCUGGAGCAAUUAGUGGACGUGAUCAGUGGGACAACUGCCGAUCAUACGUGUAGCAGGAAUAAUUACCGCAAUUAAUGGGAAAAACUGCCUAUCAAUCGUGGAGAUGCAAAACAGGGAAGUUGUGCAAUGUCAUUGGAGAGUCCUGGAUCGUUAGAUCAAGUGGAAUAGAAGGCUGAGAUGUAAUGUUCCUGCCAUGUUGGUGCUUUUAUAAGUAGUGGAGACUAUGACGGUCUGUGUGUAUUAUUGCUUAAUUUGUUUUGACACGAUUUACAUACAUUAGCUUCAUCAAGCUUGUUGGUGUUGCGACAUCUAUCGUUAGUGAAGCGGCUUUGGUUCAAUCAUUGUAUUUUUCUUGUAAGAUUUCAUUCAAUAAUUUAUUAAAAGAAGUUGUGUGUGCAUCAUUUUAA
Lolium perenne is the source of this 1595-nucleotide long non-coding RNA. RefSeq lists it as uncharacterized. The record is from RefSeq and is a predicted model, not a curated record. NCBI's taxonomy places the organism in Eukaryota, Viridiplantae, Streptophyta, Magnoliopsida, Poales, Poaceae.